UACAGAGGGUGCAAGCGUUGUUCGGAAUUAUUGGGCGUAAAGCGCGUGUAGGCGGCCAUCUAAGUCUGGUGUGAAAUCCCUCGGCUCAACUGAGGAAGUGCAUUGGAUACUGCAUGGCUAGAGGAUGAGAGAGGAGAGUGGAAUUCCCGGUGUAGGGGUGAAAUCCGUAGAUAUCGGGAGGAACACCAGAGGCGAAGGCGGCUCUCUGGCUCAUUUCUGACGCUGAGACGCGAAAGCGUGGGGAGCAAACAGG
Molecule: ribosomal RNA, 253 nt
Filed under: uncultured bacterium
Lineage: Bacteria
Description: partial 16S ribosomal RNA
Rfam family: Bacterial small subunit ribosomal RNA
Source: RNAcentral